Molecule: ribosomal RNA, 253 nt
Filed under: uncultured bacterium
Lineage: Bacteria
Description: partial 16S ribosomal RNA
Rfam family: Bacterial small subunit ribosomal RNA
Source: RNAcentral
UACGUAGGGUGCGAGCGUUAAUCGGAAUUACUGGGCGUAAAGCGUGCGUAGGCGGUUUUGUAAGUCAGGCGUGAAAUCCCCGAGCUUAACUUGGGAAUGGCGCUUGUGACUGCAAGGCUAGAGUAUGUCAGAGGGGGGUAGAAUUCCACGUGUAGCAGUGAAAUGCGUAGAGAUGUGGAGGAAUACCGAUGGCGAAGGCAGCCCCCUGGGACGUCACUGACGCUCAUGCACGAAAGCGUGGGGAGCAAACAGG